Molecule: ribosomal RNA, 1188 nt
Filed under: Triticum aestivum (bread wheat)
Lineage: Eukaryota; Viridiplantae; Streptophyta; Magnoliopsida; Poales; Poaceae
Description: partial small subunit ribosomal RNA
Source: RNAcentral
AUGGAACCACCAAUGUCUUCCUCGAUCCUUCCGGCGGAUCUCCUGCUCGAGAUCUCGGCGCGCUCUGACCCGGUCACCCUCGUGCGCUGCGCCGCCACAUGCAAGGUUCUUCGACGCCAGAUCGCCGACCCGGCUUUCCUCUCUCAGCUCCGCCUCCGAAACGCCGACUGGUUCGUGCCCACGCUGUUCCGUGGCUUGUUCAUCCAGAACCUGCGCGAGGCGGAGGGCGAGCACCCGCGGUUCGUCGUCCCCGGCCACUCCAAGGAGCCGUCCCCCGAGCCGUUGCGCUCCUUUCUGUCCAAGUACACCACCCUCUUCGAGUUCUACCACCCCGUCUUGGCAGCGCGGCACGGCCUCGUCGCCCUCCGCUGCGACACCACCCCCGAGUCUCAACCGGCUGGCGCGUGUGUGUUCAACCCUAUGACGGGCUACAUCCACUUCUUUGGGCCACCUGGGAUCAAAGCCCAGUCGUUCGUCCUGCUCACCGGCGAUGGCGGCGGGGACGGCCCCUACCGCCUGCUCGCCGCGGAGUUGUCUCCAGGUCACCUAAAGACCCAGGCCUUCUCGCCAGCCGAGCACCCCAGGCUGUGGCAAGUCAUCGCCGAGACUGCGGUCGCUCCGUGCCCUCAGGACGCCGCGCUCCUGCACCCUCCAAUCGUUCUCCAAGGCGACACCCACUGGCUGUGCAGGUCGGUCGAGUACCACUUCGUCCUGAAGUUCUCACACGCGCAGCUCCAGGCGUCCGUCACUAAGAUCGACGGUCACUGCGGCGAGGUACUACGUGGGCGCGGACCCGAGGAACUCCUCCUGGUGUCCGACGGCCACGCGAGGCAGCCAGGACUGCUCGUCGCCACCGGGCUAGACAUAUCACUAUGGACGUUGUCUGGCUCCCGCGAGGGCGGAGCCUGGUCCAAGCAGGUCCUGGUCCAGCCGGAGAGCAUUCGACGGCCUGGGCAGUGGAGCGAGCAGCUGGAGCUGCGGUGGUUUGGCGAGACAAGCGGCUACGUCUUUGUGCGGAUGUCGGGAGCGGAGGGGGCCUCACAGUCGUGGUACUUCAUGCUCGAGCUGGCGGCCAGGAGGGCCCGCGGGGUUUGCAAGAUCCCGCCCAGGGACGUGCUCGUCUUCUUCCCCUACGAGAUGGAUAUCUCCUAUUGGCGGCCAAACUUCACUCGUCGACUACACUACUAA